UNGAUGUGUAAGUCUUGCACUCAGGGAAGC
Molecule: non-coding RNA, 30 nt
Filed under: Rattus norvegicus (Norway rat)
Lineage: Eukaryota; Metazoa; Chordata; Mammalia; Rodentia; Muridae
Source: RNAcentral